Long non-coding RNA from Clupea harengus (Atlantic herring), 3150 nucleotides. The record is from Ensembl. Lineage: Eukaryota; Metazoa; Chordata; Actinopteri; Clupeiformes; Clupeidae.
UGUUGGAAUGAGUGAGCGAGUGACAGUGUGUAUUAAUGUGUGUGUGUGUGUGUGUGUGUGAGUGUGUGUGUGUGUGUGUGUGUGUGUGUGUGUGUGUGUGUGUGUGAGAGUGUUUGCUGAGACGUGUAUUAUGGUUCCUCUUUUUCAUCUCUAUAAACAGGCAGAGUCUGGAUGGCUUCACACGUCUUCAUUAGUCAGGCGGCGAAGAAGUUCCUCUCUAGCCAGUUACAACACUGUACCCGCAUCAGAAUGCUGUUUUUCAGACCAGGAUGAUAACUUUUUUGGGAUUUGUGGUGCUGAUGGCUGCAUUUUCUCAUGGUGUGGACUCCAUCUGUGAUGUUACUCAGGAUGCUGUAUGUAACGGCACCCUAGGACUACCUGUGUACCUACAGCUGAUUAGGGACGCCACAGGACACGAACUGAAGUUAUUCAGUGGAGAUAAGAAUGUUUUUACAUCCAAAUCCUCCAAGACAGUGUUCUUUAACGAGUUCAACAACCCAUCAUACCUCCAGAGGUGGCAGUUUGUUCGUGAUAACGGGACCUUGAUUAUUAACCCUGCAGAGAAGAGAGACGCAGGAACAUACAGAGUGGAGAUCUAUGAGGAGUCAACAGGGAGGAGUGUGGGAGAUCACACAGUUCAGCUGAUCCUUCAAGGUACAAGAGUGGAAACAGAGGAUGUGGUGUAUUCUGGCGUUGCCAUGGCAAAUAGGAGCAGCAGGCAUAACAGCAGGAAGCCACCAGCAGCUGAGGCGUAUGAGUUGGAGUAUGCUGAGGUGUCUGCCUUCAGUAAGCGACGGGGCCCAACUGAGAGUCACAGGCCAGAGGAGUCGGUUGAGUACGGGGAAGUGAGAGUCCACACACCACACUGACCCACAGCAGGCAGACAGUGUGUAUGCUCAAAUGCACCUCGGACAGUGACCUGUGUGUGUGUGUGUGUGUGUGUGUGUGUGUGUGUGUCUGUGUCUGUGUCUGUGUCUGUGCACCUGUGGAGGCAUGUAGCAGAGUGUGUGUCUGUUCCUCACAGCAGGUUAAUGUGGAGGUUAAUGACCACAGCAGACACAACUAACCAAGGGUACUAUAAUGGUGGAAUUAUGUGGUUAAUUAAGGUUACUAUCAUGAUGAAAUUAUGUAGUUAACCAGGGUUACCAUUGUUAGGAAAAAAUACACUGCGUGUUGUUUCGGAGAGGAACCACCAUAUGAAGCAAUUUGUUGUAACAAGGUUGAGUUUUACUGGUAGGUAACGACACAAUACAACUUGCCCAACAGACAGUCAAGUACAGUCAAGCAAGCCGGAGAAUGUGAAUUCUAGAGUCUAAACAGAGGAUGCUCCCACUUUUAAGGCCUAAUUCUGUGAUGUCGCUUCUGGCCCCCUGCACCUCCCACAUACACUGUCUUCCACUCGGCACUUUGUUAUAACACAUGAUUAACUUCUGCUUUUAAUCUGCUGACAUGUAUGUCUGGACAUUUUUGUCUGUGCCCCAGCCUUGACCACCUAAGAUUUAUAUGCUUCUCUCCUCUUCCGGGCCUUUGUUUUAACUUGCUUUCUCCUGUCUGACUCUUUACAUUUCCCCUGCAGAUGUUACUUGCUGUUUUUCUGACUUGUUGGCAGACUGCCCUUUUAUUGUGAUUAUACUUCAUUGAUACAUUUGGUUAAAUGUGAUAUGAUUAGAUAAAUUUGAUAAUUCAAAUGUAUCUUACAUUUCCCUCCUUUGACCUCAUUUAUGAGGUCAACAAUUUCUCCAAGCAUAAGCCACUAAGAAGCCAGGUUACAUGUUCAGGAUGGGUUUUCGUUUUACUUUACACAAUUCUAUCAAUCACCCUCCUUUAGCAUUCUAGCACAGCAUAAGCAAUAUUACACCUCCAGGCUCUACUCUGUCACCGGGAUGCCUGCCCCCCUCUCAGGUCAUCCGCCCCCCAUGGCUUGGUGAGACUGCCAGUGCUUUUCUCUUAGAGGUCACCCUCAGAGCGAAACCUUUCAGUGCCUAAACAGUGUCUAAACUAAUAAAAGUAAGCUAUAAUAGUAAGUACUUCAAACGGUUAGUCUUAUACUAAAAUUAACUAUUAGGUUACAUUUUUUAUACUAUAAUCAACUUUUUGUAAAACUAAAAAAUACAAAAUGCAAUAGUACACCAUUUUAUACUAAAAUCCUGGCACAAUAGCAUUAUGAGCAUGCACAUUUCAGCAAAAAAUCAUCAUUCAUUUUUUUUUUUUUCUUCUUCACCCCCCUACUCUCACAACUGACUUUCCUGCUGUCUACUCUCUCUUUCUGCCUCUUGGGGUUCUCUCCAGUAUUCAUCUUCCAAGUAGUCGAACCAAUCUGCUUGAGCGUCCAAACACUGGUCGCAAAUCACCUCCCUCGGAUCACCACUCUUCCACCACACUCCUUCCUGAAACAGAUUCUCAUCAACCACAUCUUCCCCUCCUUGGUUAAACAAUUCAUUCAAUGUCUUUUUGUGGUGACUCAACAUUUGAGCCACCACAGCUGCUCUCCCCGGUGUCAUAAGGCCAAGAGGUAUCCCAUCCCCAUCAUCAUCAUUAUCAUCAUCAUCAUCAUCAGGUCUGCAAAUUGCCCAAUCCUCAUUUACUAACACCGCUAACCUCUGCAAUUUGGCCAUCUCUUUGUUGUGAAUUUCUGCCCAUUCCCAGCACAUCCAGCCGGCUCCCCUGCCAUAUCCAUACUUACAGUAGGGGUUGCCUAUUGGGCAAUCAGGUGUGUACGGGCCUUCAGGUUUUAUCCAUACCAUGUCAUCCCCAGUCAUCUUAGUGUCAUCCUUACUCUCCGUGGGUUCAUCUGUCUCCCCUUGUCCAUCUCCAUCCUCCUUUUCUGUUGGGGAAAUAAACAGUGUCGCCUCCCAUGUGUUCCCUACUCUACCUACCGCUCCGAAUGGGAGAGUCUCCAUUUGUGCUGCCUGGUACUUAGGUGGUGCGUCUGGGAUCUCAUCUUUUCCAUUAAUUGCUCUUUCUAUGGUGCGAGUAGCUAGAGUUCUCAUACAUGGAAUGCAACAACAUCCACAGGUGGUCAGUAUGGCACCCCCUACUGCUACUCCUAAAAAUACUUGUCCCAAGAACGCUCCCCAUCUUCCAAACUUCUCAUUUAACCAAUCUACCAGAGGAUUUUUUAUUCCAGACUGUUCUUUCAUUUCGUUAGCU